CUGGGAGAGGGGUGUUUACACU
This 22-nucleotide microRNA is filed under the name Salmo salar (Atlantic salmon). Its description in RNAcentral is "ssa-miR-30a-3-3p". Its record names the gene ssa-miR-30a-3-3p. Lineage: Eukaryota; Metazoa; Chordata; Actinopteri; Salmoniformes; Salmonidae. RNAcentral also lists the same sequence under 1 other name. The record is from miRBase by way of RNAcentral.